CCUACGGGAGGCAGCAGUGGGGAAUAUUGGGCAAUGGGCGCAAGUCUGACCCAGCAACGCCGCGUGAAGGAAGAAGGCUUUCGGGUUGUAAACUUCUUUUCUGAGGGACGAAGAAAGUGACGGUACCUCAGGAAUAAGCCACGGCUAACUACGUGCCAGCAGCCGCGGUAAUACGUAGGUGGCAAGCGUUAUCCGGAUUUAUUGGGUGUAAAGGGCGUGUAGGCGGGAAAGCAAGUCAGAUGUGAAAACUCAGGGCUCAACCCUGAGACUGCAUUUGAAACUGUUUUUCUUGAGUGCUGGAGAGGCAAUCGGAAGUCCGGGUGUAGCGGUGAAAUGCGUAGAUAUUAGGAGGAACACCAGUGGCGAAGGCGACUUUCUGGACUGUACCUGACGCUGAGGCGCGAAAGCGUGGGUAGCGAACGGGAUUAGAUACCCCAGUAGUC
Molecule: ribosomal RNA, 443 nt
Filed under: uncultured bacterium
Lineage: Bacteria
Description: partial 16S ribosomal RNA
Rfam family: Bacterial small subunit ribosomal RNA
Source: RNAcentral